GACAGAGGAUGCAAGCGUUAUCCGGAAUGAUUGGGCGUAAGCGUCUGUAGGUGGCUUUUAAGUCCGCCGUCAAAUCCAGGCUCAACCCUGGACAGGCGGUGGAAACUACCAAGCUGGAGUACGGUAGGGCAGAGGGAAUUUCCGGUGGAGCGGUGAAAUGCGUAGAGAUCGGAAAGAACACCAACGGCGAAAGCACUCUGCUGGCCGACACUGACACUGAGAGACGAAAGCUAGGGAGCGAAUGGG
This 246-nucleotide ribosomal RNA is filed under the name uncultured bacterium. Its description in RNAcentral is "partial 16S ribosomal RNA". It matches the Rfam family "Bacterial small subunit ribosomal RNA", at positions 524 to 776 of the family's 1533-position model. The record is from RNAcentral.